Molecule: ribosomal RNA, 406 nt
Filed under: uncultured bacterium
Lineage: Bacteria
Description: partial 16S ribosomal RNA
Rfam family: Bacterial small subunit ribosomal RNA
Source: RNAcentral
AUUGAACGCUGGCGGCAGGCCUAACACAUGCAAGUCGAACGAGUGGCGGACGGGUGAGUAAUGUCUGGGAAACUGCCUGAUGGAGGGGGAUACCUACUGGAAACGGUAGCUAAUACCGCAUACCAUCAGAUGUGCCCAGAUGGGAUUAGCUUGUUGGUGGGGUAACGGCUCACCAAGGCCACGAUCCCUAGCUAGUCUGAGAGGAUGACCAGCCAAACUGGAACUGAGACACGGGCCAGACUCCUACGGGAGGCAUCAGUGGGGAAUAUUGCACAAUGGGCGAAAGCCUGAUGUAGCAAUGCCGCGUGUAGGAAAAAGGCCUUCGGGUUGUAAAGUACUUUCAGCGGGGAGGCGUUAACCACAGAAGAAGCACCGGCUAACUCCGUGCCAGCAGCCGCGGUAAUUC